AUUGAACGCUGGCGGCAGGCUUAACACAUGCAAGUCGAGCGAGCGGCGGACGGGUGAGUAAUGUAUGGGAAACUGCCUGAUGGAGGGGGAUAACUACUGGAAACGGUGGCUAAUACCGCAUACUAUCAGAUGAGCCCAUAUGGGAUUAGCUAGUAGGUGGGGUAAUGGCUCACCUAGGCGACGAUCCCUAGCUGGUCUGAGAGGAUGAACAGCCACACUGGGACUGAGACACGGUCCAGACUCCUACGGGAGGCAGCAGUGGGGAAUAUUGCACAAUGGGCGCAAGCCUGAUGCAGCCAUGCCGCGUGUAUGAAGAAGGCCUUCGGGUUGUAAAGUACUUUCAGCGGGGAGGCGUUACCCGCAGAAGAAGCACCGGCUAACUCCGUGCCAACAGCCGCGGUAAUUC
Molecule: ribosomal RNA, 406 nt
Filed under: uncultured bacterium
Lineage: Bacteria
Description: partial 16S ribosomal RNA
Rfam family: Bacterial small subunit ribosomal RNA
Source: RNAcentral